GGCUAUGUAGCUCAGUAGUAGAGCAUUUGCCUAGCAUGCACAAGGCCCUGGGUUCAAUCCCCAGAUCCA
This 69-nucleotide transfer RNA is filed under the name Ictidomys tridecemlineatus (thirteen-lined ground squirrel). RNAcentral's name for it is "Spermophilus tridecemlineatus (thirteen-lined ground squirrel) tRNA". It matches the Rfam family "tRNA". Rfam says of the family: Transfer RNA (tRNA) molecules are approximately 80 nucleotides in length. Lineage: Eukaryota; Metazoa; Chordata; Mammalia; Rodentia; Sciuridae. The record is from Rfam by way of RNAcentral.